RNAcentral lists this ribosomal RNA (377 nucleotides) under uncultured bacterium. Its description in RNAcentral is "bacterial SSU rRNA". It matches the Rfam family "Bacterial small subunit ribosomal RNA", at positions 523 to 898 of the family's 1533-position model. The record is from RNAcentral.
AUACGUAGGGGGCGAGCGUUGUCCGGAAUUAUUGGGCGUAAAGGGCGCGUAGGCGGUGACGACAGUCAGGUGAUAAAGGCACCGGCUCAACCGGUGUUUGGUACUUGAUACUACGUUGCUAGAGUGCAGGAGAGGAGAGCGGAAUUCCAGGUGUAGCGGUGAAAUGCGUAGAUAUCUGGAAGAACACCAGUGGCGAAGGCGGCUCUCUGGACUGUAACUGACGCUGAGGCGCGAAAGCUGGGGGAGCAAACAGGAUUAGAUACCCUGGUAGUCCCAGCCGUAAACGAUGAACACUAGGUGUAGGGGGUAUCGACCCCUCCUGUGCCGCAGUUAACGCAAUAAGUGUUCCGCCUGGGGAGUACGGCCGCAAGGUUGAA